UACCCAUCCCGAACACGACCGUUAAGCCCUCCAGCGCCGAUGGUACUUGGACCGAAGGGUCCCGGGAGAGUAGGACGCCGCCAAGC
This 86-nucleotide ribosomal RNA is filed under the name Paenibacillus sp. S150. Lineage: Bacteria; Bacillati; Bacillota; Bacilli; Caryophanales; Paenibacillaceae. The record is from RNAcentral.